AGAAUGAACGCUGGCGGCGUGCUUAAUACAUGCAAGUCGAACGGAAUCCAAGGAGCUUGCUCCUGAAGAUUCAGUGGCGAACGGGUGAGUAUCACGUGAGCAACCUGCCCCGAAGAUUGGGAUAACACCGGGAAACCGGUGCUAAUACCGAAUACCCUUCAAUGGCCGCAUGACCGAUGAAGGAAAUGUUUUUUCGCUUUGGGAGGGGCUCGCGGUCCAUCAGCUUGUUGGCGGGGUAAUGGCCCACCAAGGCAACGACGGAUAGCUGGUCUGAGAGGACGUUCAGCCACACUGGAACUGAGACACGGUCCAGACUCCUACGGGAGGCAGCAGUAGGGAAUCUUGCGCAAUGGACGAAAGUCUGACGCAGCAACGCCGCGUGAGGACGAAGGCUUUCUGAGUUGUAAACUCCUUUCAGCAGGGACGAUAGUGACGGUACCUGCAGAAGAAGCACCGGCCAACCACGUGCCAGCAGCCGCGGUGAUACGUAGGGUGCAAGCGUUGUCCGGAUUUAUUGGGCGUAAAGAGCUCGUAGGCGGUUUGAUAAGUCGGGUGUGAAACCUCCAGGCUCAACCUGGAGCCGCCACUCGAUACUGUCAUGACUAGAAUUCGGUAGGGGACCACGGAAUUCCUGGUGUAGCGGUGAAAUGCGCAGAUAUCAGGAGGAACACCAGCAGCGAAGGCGGUGGUCUGGGCCGACAUUGACGCUGAGGAGCGAAAGCGUGGGGAGCGAACAGGAUUAGAUACCCUGGUAGUCCACGCCGUAAACGUUGGGCACUAGGUGGUGGGGACUAUUCAACGGUUUCCGUGCCGCAGCUAACGCAUUAAGUGCCCCGCCUGGGGGAGUACGGCCGCAAGGCUAAA
This 864-nucleotide ribosomal RNA is filed under the name uncultured bacterium. Its description in RNAcentral is "bacterial SSU rRNA". It matches the Rfam family "Bacterial small subunit ribosomal RNA", at positions 26 to 898 of the family's 1533-position model. The record is from RNAcentral.